This 452-nucleotide ribosomal RNA is filed under the name uncultured bacterium. RNAcentral's name for it is "bacterial SSU rRNA". It matches the Rfam family "Bacterial small subunit ribosomal RNA", at positions 30 to 477 of the family's 1533-position model. The record is from RNAcentral.
AUUGAACGCUGGCGGCAUGCCUUACACAUGCAAGUCGAACGGUAACAGGUCUUCGGAUGCUGACGAGUGGCGAACGGGUGAGUAAUACAUCGGAACGUGCCCGAUCGUGGGGGAUAACGGAGCGAAAGCUUUGCUAAUACCGCAUACGAUCUACGGAUGAAAGCAGGGGACCGCAAGGCCUUGCGCGGACGGAGCGGCCGAUGGCAGAUUAGGUAGUUGGUGGGAUAAAAGCUUACCAAGCCGACGAUCUGUAGCUGGUCUGAGAGGACGACCAGCCACACUGGGACUGAGACACGGCCCAGACUCCUACGGGAGGCAGCAGUGGGGAAUUUUGGACAAUGGGCGAAAGCCUGAUCCAGCCAUGCCGCGUGCAGGAUGAAGGCCUUCGGGUUGUAAACUGCUUUUGUACGGAACGAAAAGACUCUGGUUAAUACCUGGGGUCCAUGACGGUA